This 556-nucleotide long non-coding RNA is filed under the name Sarcophilus harrisii (Tasmanian devil). RNAcentral's name for it is "lncRNA (ENSSHAG00000024953.1)". Lineage: Eukaryota; Metazoa; Chordata; Mammalia; Dasyuromorphia; Dasyuridae. The record is from RNAcentral.
GCCGCGGGGGCUCCCAUCCCAUCCGCCGCGGGCAGCCCGGCUCCAAGUGCCGCGUUAAUUACCAGCAACUCCCCCUGGGGAGAGCCAAAGCCAACUGGGGUCACCAUGGAAACCCAGACGGCUGCAGUGUGGCCAGAUUGUUAACGGGCUCCCGGCGAGCUCAGCCAAUUUCCUUUCUGGGGAAGCGGAGGAGGAGCGGGCCGGGGUCUUGCACCGCCGCGUGGGACUGGGAAGGCCCAGAAGGGGGGACGGCGGUUUUCCUGAAGGUGGAAAAAGCUCGGCCCUUGACGCCCAGCGCCGGGGGACUUCGACGCCCAGGCCCGACUUCUGUCAAGACCCUCAGCAAACCCCGAAGGCCAAAAGAAAUAUGGGGGGGAUGAGGGGAAGCCGCUCUCCCUGGCUCUUCGGCCGUUCUCUCUCCGGCCUGUUGGGGAACACGGCGGUCUCCAGAGAAACAUUCUGGGUGUGCCAAAGGGCGACGCCAGGCAGCAGCAACAUGUGGAGCCAUGUGCGUGAAGUGGGGUGAGGAACAUCAUCGGGGAACCCAUGACUGGAU